GCAUCAUUGGUCUAGUGGUAGAAUUCAUCGUUGCCAUUCCAUCUGGAAAUUCGAUGAGGCCCGUGUUCGAUUCACGGAUGAUGCA
This 85-nucleotide transfer RNA is filed under the name Paracoccidioides brasiliensis. RNAcentral describes it as "tRNA-Gly". It matches the Rfam family "tRNA". Rfam says of the family: Transfer RNA (tRNA) molecules are approximately 80 nucleotides in length. Their secondary structure includes four short double-helical elements and three loops (D, anti-codon, and T loops). The record is from RNAcentral. Lineage: Eukaryota; Fungi; Ascomycota; Eurotiomycetes; Onygenales; Ajellomycetaceae.